GAGGCACCAGGGACAUUGGUUCAGCUCUAACCAGGAUGUGUAUGAGACACAGAAGCAUCGAGGCCAAGCUCAGAGACUUUUCAAUGGCUUUCAUGGACUGCAUGAUCAACCCUCUACAGGAUCAGAUGGAGGAGUGGAAGAGAGGAACUAACACACUGGAUAAGGACCAUGCUAAAGGUAC
Non-coding RNA from Salmo salar (Atlantic salmon), 181 nucleotides. NCBI's taxonomy places the organism in Eukaryota, Metazoa, Chordata, Actinopteri, Salmoniformes, Salmonidae. The record is from RefSeq and is a predicted model, not a curated record.